Molecule: non-coding RNA, 71 nt
Organism: Heligmosomoides polygyrus
Lineage: Eukaryota; Metazoa; Nematoda; Chromadorea; Rhabditida; Heligmosomidae
Source: Rfam
GCGCCGGUGGUGUAAGGCGAACAUCGCUUCCCGGAAAGCAGAAGAUGCGGGUACGAGUCCCGUCUGGUGCA